RNAcentral lists this long non-coding RNA (301 nucleotides) under Homo sapiens (human). RNAcentral's name for it is "HSALNT0060201". Lineage: Eukaryota; Metazoa; Chordata; Mammalia; Primates; Hominidae. The record is from RNAcentral.
CUAACCUCCACAGCCAGGGUGGAAGCCACAGAACACUCAGAGACAGCAGUCAAAGAGGCCACUUCUGCACUGCCUGGACCAGAGACUGCAAACUGCCCUUCAAGCUGCAUUUCAAGUGCCUUCUGUGUGUGUGUCCACGUGUUCCCCUAAGCGACUGGGCUACACCAGUCCACCACAAAGGGGAGAAACCAAGACACCGAGAACACAGCUUAAUAGAUCUGUGAUUUGGAAUUCUGAUCCUGGCUCUACCACUCCUGGCUUGUUGUCUCUCCUGUAAAAUGAAAAUGACGAUGGCUUUACC